CGAGAUAAUGUGAAUGAUUUCUCCAGAUCUGGUCCGGGAUGAGAUGAAGUGGUUCGCAUGACCUUGGGCAAGCCCCUCUCUCUUUUAUGAUGGAACGGCAGACACUGUUAAACCCGGGGAUUACCAUGAUGAGAGAUACAGUGGCCGCUCCCUUGGAGUAGUCCACCAACGGCGGAGGCGCACAGAAUCAGACUUUCUGACCAAUGCCUGGGGAUUCUGUUUUUUCCUUUCUUUUGGGGGGCUUGGAUGGUGUUCUGAGGGGCGGGGGUCAUCGGAGGAGUGUCUUUGCAGUACAAAGCUACACCUGCAUCAUGUGUGGAACGAGACAGUGGCCUUAGCCCGCUGCCAGAUACCUGUGUGGGUAUGGCUGCCAUCUGUAGAUUUCCCAGAAGAUUCCCCUGGGAGAGCCCUAAAGUGGAGCAGUAGACAGGAGUAAAAUGACGUGGAGAACCCAGGAGAAUUAGUCAUAUGUUAAGCUGUUAUGGUAAAGUUACCGGUGGAGAGGAUCUGUGUUUUGUACCUCAGAAAAAUAUGGCUGAGGCAUUGGAAAUAUGCUGAGUCAUGGACUCGGGGGAAGGGAGUGCCCGGCGCAAAUCUCGGGAACCUGAGGUCUUUAUUCAGGAUGUGUGGAAGGGCAAGGAAGAAAUUUGAGGCCACCACAAGACCUUAGACAUCCUGCUUUAUAAAAAAGGACUCCGAACGCCACAAUAGGUUCAUAGUGGGGGGAAAGACACCAGGGUUCUUAGGAAGAUGACCCUGACAAGUGUCAAGGGUGGACUGCAGGACUUGGAGAUCGACCACAUGAGAUCAGACUAGUAGAGAAUGCUCCUAAGUGACACAUGUAGGCUGACAUGCUACCUUCUUGGUCCAGGUCACCUGGUCAGUAACCACACAGGCCGCUGACCUGAGUGAAAAGGAAGUUGGUUUGCCCUAGGUGUAAUGUUCUGCCAUCUCAAUAGGUUCUGACCUUUUUACUUUCUAAGCUUCUUUCCUGCCUCCAGGGACAGCCCUCCCCCAGUUUGCAACAAACCUUUACCUCAGGGGGCAGACUUGCUUUAUUCACACUUGUUCUCUUGCCCCUUUGGGGACGGGGGUGGUGUGUGUGUGUGUGUGUGUGUGUGUGUGUGUGUGUGUGUGUGUAUGCGCGCGCGCGCGCGCGUGCGCGCGCGUGUAUAUUACCAUGCUGGAGGGUGGGCUGUGCCCUAUCUUGUUCUGAAGAAAUGAUAAACAAUGCCUUCUUUGUUGCUCUGCAACCUGGACCAAUGGGGUAGGACUCUCCCUUCUUUCAUAUUCUAAACAGAUGGGAAAGUGGUGAUGACAGAAAAUUGCCGGUCACCUUUUAAGCAGUGGGAUUUUCCUGUGUUUUUGAAAUCCUCAUGGUGAAAGGUGAUGAACCUGUGGAGUUGUCCUUCUUUCUGCUGUGCCCCAGCAAACUAAAGCUCCUACUAAGUCUUUGACUUAAAAAAACAAAACAAAACAAAACAAAAAAACCUCAACAAUGAAACCACAAAUACAUUGUCCCAGAAUCUCCAGGGGACAGCUGUCCAGGGGAGCAUUUUAACCCUAACCAGGUUCCCAGCCUCCUGCAAUAAGGUCUGUUAUGACUUUGGCUGCUGUCUGUUCUUAACCUGGCAUGCCAGUUGUCCCUUCUAAUAUUUUUUGUCUGUUUCUAUUGCCUCUCAGGCUUUAGUUCCUGGCAGGUGCGUGGAGGAGGAUGAACAAGUCAGUUAGGGUCUCCCAGUGUAGCCUCCAGCAGCCCCAUGGAUCAAAGAGUUAACCACAAUUAAUUUAUUGUCACUUUAGGAGUAUUUACACUGGAAGAAUAAGCAAGUGACUUCACAUACACACUUUUAGAUUGAGGGACAGAAGGCCCAUGUGACCAAAAAUUAUGCAUAAAUUUGUGCCUGUGUGCUGCCCCCUCCCAAUAAGAUUCAAAGGCCAUGACAGCCCUGACUCUUGGCUCUGCUAAGUGUCAAGAACAAGGUUGCUUUGCAAAUGAACUCAUAGAUGAGUUUUCAGACUCUUAUCCUGGUCAAAUGUCAAAUUGGUGCUGUCCACCCUCCCAUUUGGACAGUAAACUCAAAAGCCAGAAAGAUUUUUUUGAGCUUGAAAGGUUCCUAAGGAACAUUUUUCGGCCACAUUGCACUCCCAAAGCAGGAGGGACAUGGAGAGGGGUGUUUUGAGUGGAGGUCUUUUUGCUCCCAGUGUAAUGUCCAUAAAGCAGAAUUUGUAUACUACAUCGUAUCCAGUAAUCACAACCAGGGGCUGCUCCACUGCCUGCCCGUGUAACCCAUCACCCACGAGGGUGGCUUCUCUCACCUGUUUGCUUUUAAAGCAUAAAACAAAUGUCUGUAGCCUAGGAGAGAUUUCCCCCUUCCCCCUAGGUUUUGGGGGAUGUUUUGUGGGUUUGUUUUAGAGCUAGGGAAAGGGGGGUGGUGGUGGUAUUUUGCCUGAGGACUCAAAGCUUUUUUCCCCCUUUUUCCUUCGCAUGACUGACUUUCUCACACUCCGAUUCCCUGCAGCCUGCCAGAGACUGGGUUGUUGCCUUGCCAAGAGCUAUCCUGGUAGGGUUAUUGAAAGAGCUUUGAGUAAGUACACAUGGGGCGGAUUUCUCUCCUCCCCUUGUACCUGCCCUGCACCUGUACUGGGAGCAGCCCCACACAUAUCACCUGAUCACAGCCCUUUCAGACUCCGUGAGAAAAAUGAAGCCAGAGAGAGCAGAGACAUGUUUGCCUUUCCUCCAGGGCAGCAGCCAGCUCCUUGCAGCUGGGAGUGUCCAGAGACACUGUCGACAUUCCAGGCAUCUGUGCCUGCAUGUUUUCUGUGGGUUCCUCCUGGCGACACCACACUGGGACAAGAAGGAAGCUGGAGAUCACUUUCCCUGUGGCCACUCUCCUGCUCUGGCCGUGAGCAUUUGGCCUGCUGGUGACUUCAGGUUCCUUUACUGGAAUCAUCAUCAUCAUCUUCUCAGAUAAGAGUCUUUGACUUCUUCACAGAAUUCCCAAGCAGAACUUCUCAUAACCUGGACAGUCCCUGAAAAAGGAAUUUGAAUUUGUUCCUCUAUAUGCCCCUUUAUGUCUAGCAGGUGUCUAAUAAAUAUUUCUCGAAUAAACAAAUGCAUCACUCUCUUGCCCAAGGAGGGUCCACAGCUUUCUCAUCUGAUCCAAAGAUUCUGUGACCAGAAUUGGUUUAGGCAAUCCAUGUCUCCUGGUAGGCACCUUCCCUCUAGACAGGGGCGGAUUGGCUAGAGGAUGAGCAGCAAUGUAAGGCCUGGGGUGGGGUGAGCAGAGCCAUUGCCCAAGCUCCCCCACUGCCUCGAUGCUGUGGUCCUCUCAUUGUUUUAGGGCAGGAUUUACAGAGUUCCAGGCAGCAGCCAGACCCUGCAUUUUAAAGUAAGGGCAUUAAUAACGAGUUUUAAUUUCUGCAAUGUCGUCUUCUUAAGCUGCUCCCUGCCCAGUGUUUAGAUGGAGAAAGGGAAAAGAGGGUUGGGGAAUGCUUGGAACAAACGUUUGGUUGCCAUGCAAAGGCAUUGGAAACAACUGCAAGGCUGCAUUCCAUCUUUGAUAAAAAUAAGUUGCCACUUCUGAACAAAAACGCCUGCUUGAUGCCUGGCCAAGCCCAGCCGGUACUAGGAGAAGUCGGGUGGGGGGUGGAAAACAGGCUUUCAACAUUGGCUAAUAGCCUGUAAUGCUCCCCCGCCCCCUAACACUCACUGGAGCCAGUGAGACCAAGGGAAUGUGCACUUCCCUAAUGGGCUCUGAAGGAGGAUGGCUGCCAAGAAGGCCCUUCUUAGAAGGGUGGGGGUGGGGCGCCUGUGUUCUGCUCAACUCUCCUACUUGGCUGGACCACAGGGGCAUGCGCUCAUAGCCAGUAGCCUCACCGCAGUGUCAGGCCUCUGUGAGCCAUGCAGAUGCCUUCUGAGGGAAAGUGAGACACGGUUCCUGUUUGACACCCGUGGGAAGUGAUGCUCUCGAUCCAGCAUCCGUCAAGGAUCCAGCUCCGGUUUUUUUCAUUUAUUUGUGAUAGGGCCUCUUGAAGCCCAAACUGGCCUUGGACUCCAAAUCCUUCUCCUCUUCAAAUGCUGGGGUUGCAGGCCCAUGACCCCAUGUCACGCUGGAGCCCCAGUUUUUAUCCAAGAGGGUUUCAUUCAGCACACAUAGGACAUGGGAAAGGGACGGAGAGGCUCAAUGACAGCUGUGUUUUCCCAUGUUUCACUGGACUUGGUUUCACCUUGGAUAGAGUCAGUGCGCCCAGGACAUCCCCCUCACCACUGGGAGGCUCCAGGAAAAAAAUCCGUGUGGAAAGGUGGAAGUCAGACAGAAAGUGGGGCUGAAAAGGACACUUGGUCUAAGAGAGCACACAUAGGACAUGGGAAAGGGAUGGAGAGGCUCAUUCUUGAUGAAGAGUCAAGGUACAAAGUGGGAGAGGCAUGGAUUUCAACCGUGUGCUGUGGAAAGAGACAUCCCAUGAACACCCAGGGAGCAGCUUUUUGCAAUGAGCAGGGAUGCUGUGGAGCCCAGAAUGAAGCAGUUUACCAUUGCAAAGGUAUUUCGUCCAGCCACUGGGUAAUUCAGUCAAUGGACAUUUGCUGAACAGCACUGUCAGGACAGAAGUGGAUUGCUUUUCACCCGCUGCGCCUGUGGAUUGGAAGCUCUUUGAGGACAGCUUCUCAUUCCAGGCUGAAUCCCGGGACACAUGGUGACGGGAAAGAGAGAGCGACAGACAAGCCAUGGCUCACACAGAUGAACACACACAGGCCAACAUGCUUGUGCUCUGCUUCCUUUCAAAGUUUAGUUGCAGGUGUGAGGCGCAAGGACUGAGGGGGGCCGUGGGCUGAGAAGCAUGAUGUCCCCGGAAAGGACGUAUGAGAAUGAAUGACAGCAUUUGGGAAGACAGGAGGAUGGCCCUUCUUGGUCACCCACCCACAAAGGCUCUUUUGGGAGAGAAUGAAGCUCUUGCAUUCAGGUGACCUAGGGAUCCCAGAGACGGGGUAUAGAGGCUGCAGGAGUGAGAAUGGAAAGUACCAUCUUUCCAGCAGUGAAAAAGCCCUUUGGUCACUUGACAUCCUGCCAUCCUGCUCUGGGCCGCUGCUGAGCUUACCUCCGUCUUGUGGAUGAGCACCAACAACACAGACGACCUGCUUCUGCUCCUGAUGCACAGCUGUGGGCAAUGGAGGCAAGUGGGUGUAAGAGCAAUGGGAAGGGCAGGCUUAUGGUCAGAGUGUGCCCAUUCCCCAAGGAAUUGUUAGUUUGCUUUUUCAAUACUUACCACAUCACAAACUCAGAAUUCACAAAGCAUGAAGGCAAAUGUCAAUGUAUAUUAUGAAAUGUGCCUGUCUCUCACCCCUCCUCCCCCUCCCUAUAGUCAUCCAGUUGUCCUUACUGAUAUUCUCAGUUUUUCAAGAUGAGACUGUAAUGGAAAGUUUAAGCUUGUACAACCAGAUGUGUUAGCUUUGAGUUCCAAAUAUGCUGCUUGUACCGUGCUAUGUUCUCUUAGUGAUUGACAGUCUCUUCCAUGCGAGUCUGCGCCAGUCUCCUCAGUUGGGUUCUGUUUGUUAGCUGCAUAGUGCUUCCCCAUGUUGCUGGGGAAGUCACCCCAGUACCUAUCUAAAGAGCCAGACUCCAGCCUUUUGGGGGAGCCCCUGUUUUACUAAUAACAAAGGGUAUUGUGACAUGAAGGAACAUCAGUCUUGUGCUGCCCAGCAUUGUCACUACUAACUACACUGCAAUUCCACACAUAUGGCUGGUCCAGUCAAGACUGGCUACAAAGGUACGAUGCAAACUAGACUUUGGGGAUUUAAUUUUAAAAUGUAAACCAUCUUAUUUAAUAUUUUUUAACAUUUAUUGCAUGUCAAAUUAUUUUUUAAAUAUAUCAGCUGUA
This is a non-coding RNA of Cricetulus griseus (Chinese hamster), 5880 nucleotides long. NCBI's taxonomy places the organism in Eukaryota, Metazoa, Chordata, Mammalia, Rodentia, Cricetidae. The record is from RefSeq and is a predicted model, not a curated record.